CACGUAGGGCGCAAGCGUUGUCCGGAAUUAUUGGGCGUAAAGAGCUCGUAGGCGGUCUGUUGCGUCCGCUGUGAAAACCCGGGGCUUAACCCUGGGCUGGCAGUGGAUACGGACAGACUAGAGGUAGGUAGGGGAGAAUGGAAUUCCCGGUGUAGCGGUGAAAUGCGCAGAUAUCGGUAGGAACACCAGUGGCGAAGGCGGUCUCCUGGGGCAUUCUUGACGCUGAGGCGCGAAAGCUGGGGGAGCGAACGGG
This 253-nucleotide ribosomal RNA is filed under the name uncultured bacterium. RNAcentral's name for it is "partial 16S ribosomal RNA". It matches the Rfam family "Bacterial small subunit ribosomal RNA", at positions 524 to 776 of the family's 1533-position model. The record is from RNAcentral.